GGAGUUAGCCGGUGCUUUCUUGGGAGGUACCGUCAGAUCUUCUUUCCUCCCGACAGUGCUUUACGACCCGAAGGCCUUCAUCACACACGCGGCGUGGCUGCGUCAGGCUUUCGCCCAUUGCGCAAUAUUCCCC
RNAcentral lists this ribosomal RNA (133 nucleotides) under uncultured bacterium. RNAcentral describes it as "partial 16S ribosomal RNA". The record is from RNAcentral.